GUGAAUCAUCGAAUCUUUGAACGCAAAUUGCACUCUCCUCGGAGAGUAUGCCUGUUUGAGGGUCAGCCUAUAAAAAAUCGACAUCGUUGCUGUUUUGCGGUGGGGUUCGUCGGCAAUUGGGUCAUCUUAAAUCCUUUGGUUUUAAGGGACUUAAAAUUUUCCUUUUGGUUCCAUGAACGUUUCUAAGAUUUAUUUCUUUAUACGUUUAAGGUAUCGAUUUUUAUUAGAAUUGAACACGAUAU
Molecule: unclassified non-coding RNA, 242 nt
Filed under: Glomus sp.
Lineage: Eukaryota; Fungi; Glomeromycota; Glomeromycetes; Glomerales; Glomeraceae
Description: partial contains 5.8S ribosomal RNA and internal transcribed spacer 2
Rfam family: 5.8S ribosomal RNA (bases 1-65)
Source: RNAcentral